Molecule: ribosomal RNA, 492 nt
Filed under: uncultured bacterium
Lineage: Bacteria
Description: partial 16S ribosomal RNA
Rfam family: Bacterial small subunit ribosomal RNA
Source: RNAcentral
AGUGAACGCUGGCGGUAGGCCUAACACAUGCAAGUCGAACGGCAGCACAGUAAGAGCUUGCUCUUACGGGUGGCGAGUGGCGGACGGGUGAGGAAUACAUCGGAAUCUACUUUUUCGGGGGGGAUAACGUAGGGAAACUUACGCUAAUACAGCAUACGAUCUACGGGUGAAAGCAGGGGAUCUUCGGACCUUGCGCGAUUGAAUGAGCCGAUGUCGGAUUAGCUGGUUGGCGGGGUAAAGGCCAACCAAGGCGACGAUACGUAGCUGGUCUGAGAGGCUGGUCAGCCACACUAGAACGUAGACACGGUCCAGACUCCUACGGGAGGCAGCAGUGGGGAAUAUUGGACAGUGGGCGCAAGCCUGAUCCAGCCAUACCGCGUGGGUGAAGGAGGCCUUCGGGUUGUAAAGCCCUUUUGUUGGGAAAGAAAAGCAGCAGGUUGAUACCCCGCUGUUCUGACGGUACCCAAAGAAUAAGCACCGGCUAACUUCGUG